This 825-nucleotide long non-coding RNA is filed under the name Monodelphis domestica (gray short-tailed opossum). RNAcentral's name for it is "lncRNA (ENSMODG00000045454.1)". Lineage: Eukaryota; Metazoa; Chordata; Mammalia; Didelphimorphia; Didelphidae. The record is from RNAcentral.
CCUAGAGCCCAGGAAAGGAGCCCCCGGAGCGGGACUGACGCUAAGCCAGCUCCCCCCUCACCCCUCCAAAGAGGAGACCCAGCUCCCCUUGCAGACCUGCCCGGACGGGGAGCUCACCCCCUCUGAGGCCGCCCAUGGCCCCAGGACAGUUCCAGGGUUUAGAAGAUUCUUCUGACUCGAGCUGAAUCUGCUCCACCAGCUUUCCCCCAUGGGCUGCCUUUGCCCUUGGGGUCCUCAGGAUGACUCUCCUGGGACUUGGAGGCUUCUUGUCCUAAGCUAAGCUGCCCGCGUCGGUGCCCGGUGCUCCUAGUUCUGCCUCCAGGACCGAGGAGGCAUGGCAGGGGCCGUCUCGUCCCACUGCUGGUCCCUGACCGGGACUCCCAGUGCCUCUGGCGAGCCGUCAUCGUGCCGCCGAGAACUCCUGGUGACAGAGAGCUUUUGGUCUCCUUCUGCUCCUUGUUUCUCAUUGUGGCCACCGGCACCGGCCAGGGCAGCGUCGGCAGGAUCCAUGCCCGGUCCGGAGGCAGCUCUGUCCUGGUGGGCUGGACUGCGGUGUGGACUGAUGUCUAGAACCUACAGAGACGCCGAGACCCAUUCUUGGUCCUGGAGGAGUUCCCGGCCUCACUGGGGAUGAACACACGCGUGAGAAGCUGGGCUGGACCCCGGAUCCCAGAUGGAUGGAAACUACUAGUGAAGGGACUCAGCCACCAGAGCAGGGCGCCUGCCCUGCAGCUCAGCCUUUCCCAUGCGUGGAUUGAUCUCUCCCGGAUCUCUCCCCUGAGCCCUCCCAUCUAGCAAGAAUAAAAAGGAGGAGAAAAUAAAACA